This 253-nucleotide ribosomal RNA is filed under the name uncultured bacterium. RNAcentral describes it as "partial 16S ribosomal RNA". It matches the Rfam family "Bacterial small subunit ribosomal RNA", at positions 524 to 776 of the family's 1533-position model. The record is from RNAcentral.
UACGAAGGGGGCUAGCGUUGCUCGGAAUCACUGGGCGUAAAGGGUGCGUAGGCGGCGCGGUAAGUCGGGGGUGAAAUCUCGGAGCUUAACUCCGAAACUGCAUUCGAUACUGCCGUGCUUGAGGACUGGAGAGGAGACUGGAAUUUACGGUGUAGCGGUGAAAUGCGUAGAUAUCGUAAGGAAGACCAGUGGCGAAGGCGGGUCUCUGGACAGUUCCUGACGCUGAGGCACGAAGGUCAGGGGAGCAAACGGG